RNAcentral lists this transfer RNA (131 nucleotides) under Haloarcula sp. S1AR25-4. Its description in RNAcentral is "tRNA-Trp". It matches the Rfam family "tRNA". From Rfam's summary of the family: Transfer RNA (tRNA) molecules are approximately 80 nucleotides in length. Their secondary structure includes four short double-helical elements and three loops (D, anti-codon, and T loops). Lineage: Archaea; Methanobacteriati; Methanobacteriota; Halobacteria; Halobacteriales; Haloarculaceae. The record is from RNAcentral.
GGAUUCGUGGUCCAACGGGAAGACGCCCGCUUCCAGAGCGGGAGAUGGCUGUUCGAAAACCGCUUGCGGUUUUCGAGCCCUGGAAGACGAACGCAGUGAGUCUUCCUCUGGUUCGAUUCGGUCCGAAUCCA